CACCGCGGUUAUACGAGAGACCCUAGUUGAUUGAAGCGGCGUAAAGAGUGGUUAUGGAAUUUCCUCUUUAAAGCAGAAAACCUCUCAAACUGUUAUACGCACCCAGAGGUUGAAACCCCUCACACGAAAGUAACUUUAUCUUCGCCUACCAGAACCCACGAAAGCUGGGACA
RNAcentral lists this ribosomal RNA (172 nucleotides) under Anchoa compressa (deep body anchovy). RNAcentral's name for it is "partial small subunit ribosomal RNA". The record is from RNAcentral. Lineage: Eukaryota; Metazoa; Chordata; Actinopteri; Clupeiformes; Engraulidae.